This 253-nucleotide ribosomal RNA is filed under the name uncultured prokaryote. Its description in RNAcentral is "partial 16S ribosomal RNA". It matches the Rfam family "Bacterial small subunit ribosomal RNA", at positions 524 to 776 of the family's 1533-position model. The record is from RNAcentral.
GGCGAACCGAGCGAACGUUGUUCGGAAUCACUGGGCUUAAAGGGCGCGUAGGCGGGCCCGCCAGUCUGUGGUGAAAUCCUCCGGCUCAACCGGAGAACUGCCUCGGAUACUGCGGGUCUCGAGUGUGAUAGGGGUAUGCGGAACUAUCGGUGGAGCGGUGAAAUGCGUUGAUAUCGAUAGGAACUCCGGUGGCGAAGGCGGCAUACUGGAUCACAACUGACGCUGAGGCGCGAAAGCCAGGGGAGCAAACGGG